Molecule: long non-coding RNA, 518 nt
Filed under: Triticum aestivum (bread wheat)
Lineage: Eukaryota; Viridiplantae; Streptophyta; Magnoliopsida; Poales; Poaceae
Description: long non-coding RNA (TAES_LNC023876)
Source: RNAcentral
GCUGUCUUGGGUCAUUCGAAGCGAGCAUGUGAACAUUUAGGAGGCCGGAUUUGCCAAGUCCGGCUGAAGAUGCUCUUGCAAUGCUAGACCAUUGGGCGACGUGGCGAGACUUGUAGACUCGUAGACGAUGCGAACAUAAGGUUCAAAAGGGUAUUCAUUCUUUACAUCGGUUACAACACCAGGGUACAAGUACACAUCCAACAAGCAUGCAUUGCUCCACAAUUACAUACCAUCAUCCGGUUUACUUCCACGGAAAAAAAAGUCAAGUUCCACCAGCGAUCUUCUUCCCCGUGGUAGCACACUCCUCGGAUUAGUUGCUAACUCCCAACGUGUUCCUUACUUGGGGGCGAAGGCCUGAAACGUAACACCAAAAAGGGUCAUACAUCAGUAGCCAAAUCAUACAUACAUAUAUAGUACCAAUGUAAUAUAAUGUGUAUCAUAUGCGUACCCGGAAGAUGGUGGCGUGGCCGGGGUCGGCGAGGUGAGCGAAGAGAUUGUCGAUGGGGCCGGUGCCGGUG